GUUCUCCCUUCGGGGACAUCUGAUAAAAUUGGAACGGUACAGAGAAGAUUAGCAUGGCCCGUGCGCAAGAAUGACACGCACAAAUCGAGAAAUGGUCCAAAUUUUU
This 106-nucleotide small nuclear RNA is filed under the name Helianthus annuus (common sunflower). Lineage: Eukaryota; Viridiplantae; Streptophyta; Magnoliopsida; Asterales; Asteraceae. The record is from RNAcentral.